Molecule: long non-coding RNA, 251 nt
Filed under: Elaeis guineensis (African oil palm)
Lineage: Eukaryota; Viridiplantae; Streptophyta; Magnoliopsida; Arecales; Arecaceae
Description: long non-coding RNA (EGUI_LNC004477)
Source: RNAcentral
AUCUCUUCGCUUAUGAUACUCCUUCAAAUCCAUUCUUGCUUUCACAUUAUCUUUUAUUUUGCCUUUAAUAUCCAUGAUUGUAUUAAACACAUUAUCAAACACAUUUUUUCUAUGUGCAUCACAUCUAGAUUAUGUCUGAUCAAAUUAGUUUUCCAAUAUGGUAAGUCCUAAAAUAUGCUUUACUUUAUCCAAUUAUGUAUAACCCUAUAUCCAUCACAUCUACAUGAAUCCUCCUUAGUUAUCUUUGGAAG